RNAcentral lists this ribosomal RNA (253 nucleotides) under uncultured bacterium. RNAcentral describes it as "partial 16S ribosomal RNA". It matches the Rfam family "Bacterial small subunit ribosomal RNA", at positions 524 to 776 of the family's 1533-position model. The record is from RNAcentral.
AACGUAGGAGACAAACGUUAUCCGGAGUUACUGGGCGUAAAGGGCGUGUAGGUGGUGCUGUAAGUCUGGCGUGAAAUUUUUCGGCUUAACCGGGAAAGGUCGUCGGAUACUGCAGGACUAGAGGACGGUAGAGGCGUGUGGAAUUCCGGGUGUAGUGGUGAAAUGCGUAGAGAUCCGGAGGAACACCAGUGGCGAAGGCGGCAUCCUGGACCAAUAUUGACGCUGAGGAGCGAAAGCCAGGGGAGCAAACGGG